AUUAGGAAGCUUGCCUUGUCCCGCCUUAGUUGCUUCUGAUUGGACAGAACUACUGCAGCUAGAAGUGCGGUUCCCCUCAAUCAGUCUCUCUCUCUCUGCGUGCUCUGGAGGAAGAAGCUGUGCCCCAAAGUCAGCUAGAAAGCUGUGUCUCACAGUUAGCUUAGGAAAGUGACCAAAAUAAGCCUCUUUUGAUAAAAGAGUGAACUAUUUAAAGCUAGAAGCAUCACCUGUCCAUCUAAUGGGCUGGAAAUUCGUGAAUUGUGCAAAAACCUGACCUAUGAACACAGACUAUCUGCUGAAGCUGGUUCUAGAGCUAUUGAGGGUAAAGGACCAAAAAGGAUACCCGUUCAUCCAAGAGUUUCUGUACCUGCUUGCUUAAGCAGGUCAGGUUUUUUUUGAGGGCGCUGAAAACCUGGGAGAGCAGAUUCCCUCAGCAUGACUUCGGACCCUCUUCUGUGAAAGCGAUGGCGAGCCACCCAAAGGAGAACUGAGCUAAAAGACUACUCUUGAGUCCAUUUCAAAUUACCUGGUCAUGUGGUAGGACAAAGAAAAGUGAUUGAGAGACUGAGCUUAUUUUAUUUUAAUUUUAAUUU
Molecule: long non-coding RNA, 593 nt
Organism: Astyanax mexicanus (Mexican tetra)
Lineage: Eukaryota; Metazoa; Chordata; Actinopteri; Characiformes; Acestrorhamphidae
Exons: 3
Source: RefSeq, a predicted model, not a curated record